Molecule: non-coding RNA, 75 nt
Filed under: Nitrosomonas communis
Lineage: Bacteria; Pseudomonadati; Pseudomonadota; Betaproteobacteria; Nitrosomonadales; Nitrosomonadaceae
Source: RNAcentral
AGUAGCCGGAUGAAGCGAGAGUUUCACGUCCGGAUCUGUGAGCACCUGGGGUGCGAUUCCCCUGGGUGGCUCGAC